Molecule: ribosomal RNA, 253 nt
Filed under: uncultured bacterium
Lineage: Bacteria
Description: partial 16S ribosomal RNA
Rfam family: Bacterial small subunit ribosomal RNA
Source: RNAcentral
GACGAAGGAUGCAAGCGUUAUCCGGAUUCAUUGGGUUUAAAGGGAGCGUAGGUGGCUUUGUAAGUCAGUGGUGAAAUCUUCUCGCUUAACGAGAAAACUGCCAUUGAUACUGCAGAGCUUGAGUACGGUUGCCGUUGGCGGAAUAUGACAUGUAGUGGUGAAAUACAUAGAGAUGUCAUAGAACACCGAUUGCGAAGGCAGCUAACGAAACCGUAACUGACACUGAGGCUCGAAAGUGCGGGGAUCAAACAGG